GACGAAGGAUGCAAGCGUUAUCCGGAUUCAUUGGGUUUAAAGGGAGCGUAGGCGGCCUUGUAAGUCAGUGGUGAAAUCUUCCCGCUUAACGGGAAAACUGCCAUUGAUACUGCUUGGCUUGAGUACAGAUGCUGUGGGCGGAAUACGACAUGUAGUGGUGAAAUACAUAGAGAUGUCAUAGAACACCGAUUGCGAAGGCAGCUCACAAAACUGUAACUGACGCUGAGGCUCGAAAGUGUGGGGAUCAAACAGG
RNAcentral lists this ribosomal RNA (253 nucleotides) under uncultured prokaryote. RNAcentral describes it as "partial 16S ribosomal RNA". It matches the Rfam family "Bacterial small subunit ribosomal RNA", at positions 524 to 776 of the family's 1533-position model. The record is from RNAcentral.